AGAUCCCUGGAGAUAACAGAUGCAAAUGACACCUGGACAUGCACUUGGGGAGCGUCAGAAUCCAAAACAACAGCAUAUUACACCGUUUUCUUCAGAGAGAUGAUUGUACAUGAUGCAUAUAAAUGGUUGUGGAACGCUAAGAGCAUCCCCAAACUAAAGGUCUUUGGCUCGUUUCUGCUAUCCGAUCGCCUAAACGCGAGAAACAUGCUCAAGAGAAGUCAUUAUAACAUUGUCAACAACUUUGACUGUCUGCUUUGUGGACAACACAUUGAAGAAACGGUGGAACACCUUUUUUCCAAUGUUCAUUCAGUGCAGCAUGCUGGUACAAGCUGA
This 333-nucleotide ribosomal RNA is filed under the name Triticum aestivum (bread wheat). RNAcentral's name for it is "partial small subunit ribosomal RNA". The record is from RNAcentral. Lineage: Eukaryota; Viridiplantae; Streptophyta; Magnoliopsida; Poales; Poaceae.